RNAcentral lists this ribosomal RNA (1416 nucleotides) under uncultured prokaryote. RNAcentral's name for it is "partial 16S ribosomal RNA". It matches the Rfam family "Bacterial small subunit ribosomal RNA". The record is from RNAcentral.
GAUUAACGCUGGCGGCGUGCUUAACACAUGCAAGUCGAACGAGAAAGUCCUAGCUUGCUAGGGCGAGUAAAGUGGCGCACGGGUGAGUAACGCGUGAAUAAUCUACCUUCGAAUCUGUGAACAACACACCGAAAGGUGUGCUAAUACCGGAUAAUAUCUUUGCCCUUCGGUGUAGAAGAUCAAAGGCGGCCUCUUCUUGAAAGCCGUUGUUUGGAGAUGAGUUCGCGUACCAUUAGCUAGUUGGUGGGGUAAAGGCCUACCAAGGCUACGAUGGUUAGCUGGUCUGAGAGGAUGACCAGUCACACUGGAACUGAGACACGGUCCAGACUCCUACGGGAGGCAGCAGUGAGGAAUCUUGCGCAAUGGGGGAAACCCUGACGCAGCAACGCCGCGUGAGUGAUGAAGGCUCUUGGGUCGUAAAGCUCUGUCAAUAGGGAGAAAUCAUCUAUGGUUAAUAUCCAUAGUUGUUGACGGUACCUAUGAAGGAAGCACCGGCUAACUCCGUGCCAGCAGCCGCGGCAAUACGGGGGGUGCAAGCGUUACUCGGAGUUAUUGGGCGUAAAGGGAGUGUAGGCGGUUGGGUUAGUCAGAUGUGAAAGCCUUCUGCUCAACAGAAGAAGUACGUCUGAAAAUGCCCAGCUUGAGUACGAGAGAGGAAAGUGGAAUUCCCAGUGUAGAGGUGAAAUUCGUAGAUAUUUGGAGGAACAUCGGUGGCGAAGGCGACUUUCUGGAUCGAUACUGACGCUGAGACGCGAAAGCGUGGGGAGCGAACAGGAUUAGAUACCCUGGUAGUCCACGCCGUAAACGAUGGGAACUAGGUGUAGGGGGUAUUGACCCCCCCUGUGCCGUAGCUAACGCAUUAAGUUCCCCACCUGGGGACUACGGUCGCAAGACUAAAACUCAAAGGAAUUGACGGGGGCCCGCACAAGCGGUGGAGCAUGUGGUUUAAUUCGAGGCAACGCGAAGAACCUUACCAGCUUUUGACAUCCCGGUCGCGGUUAGCAGAGAUGCUUUCCUUCAGUUCGGCUGGACCGGUGACAGGUGCUGCAUGGUUGUCGUCAGCUCGUGUCGUGAGAUGUUGGGUUAAGUCCCGCAACGAGCGCAACCCUCGCCUUUAGUUGCCAGCAUUUAGUUGGGCACUCUAGAGGGACUGCCGGUGAUAAGCCGGAGGAAGGUGGGGAUGACGUCAAAUCAUCAUGGCCCUUACGGGCUGGGCUACACACGUGCUACAAUGGCGGUGACAGUGAGCAGCCACUCAGCAAUGGGGAGCUAAUCUCUAAAAGCCGUCUCAGUUCGGAUUGUUCUCUGCAACUCGAGAGCAUGAAGUUGGAAUCGCUAGUAAUCGUGGAUCAGCAUGCCACGGUGAAUACGUUCCCGGGCCUUGUACACACCGCCCGUCACACCAUGGGAGUUGGU